AGUGAACGCUGGCGGUAGGCCUAACACAUGCAAGUCGAACGGCAGCACAGUAAGAGCUUGCUCUUACGGGUGGCGAGUGGCGGACGGGUGAGGAAUACAUCGGAAUCUACUUUUUCGUGGGGGAUAACGUAGGGAAACUUACGCUAAUACCGCAUACGACCUACGGGUGAAAGCAGGGGAUCUUCGGACCUUGCGCGAUUGAAUGAGCCGAUGUCGGAUUAGCUAGUUGGCGGGGUAAAGGCCCACCAAGGCGACGAUCCGUAGCUGGUCUGAGAGGAUGAUCAGCCACACUGGAACUGAGACACGGUCCAGACUCCUACGGGAGGCAGCAGUGGGGAAUAUUGGACAAUGGGCGCAAGCCUGAUCCAGCCAUGCCGCGUGCGUGAAGAAGGCCUUCGGGUUGUAAAGCCCUUUUGUUGGGAAAGAAAAGCAGCAGGUUAAUACCCCGCUGUUCUGACGGUACCCAAAGAAUAAGCACCGGCUAACUUCGUG
RNAcentral lists this ribosomal RNA (492 nucleotides) under uncultured bacterium. RNAcentral describes it as "partial 16S ribosomal RNA". It matches the Rfam family "Bacterial small subunit ribosomal RNA", at positions 29 to 507 of the family's 1533-position model. The record is from RNAcentral.